UACGUAGGGGGCAAGCGUUGUCCGGAUUUAUUGGGCGUAAAGAGCGUGUAGGCGGUUUGGUAGGUCCGCUGUGAAAACUCGAGGCUCAACCUCGAGACGCCGGUGGAAACCAUCAGACUAGAGUCCGGAAGAGGAGAGUGGAAUUCCUGGUGUAGCGGUGAAAUGCGCAGAUAUCAGGAAGAACACCCGUGGUUAAGGCGGCUCUCUAGUACGGUACUGACGCUGAGACGCGAAAGCGUGGGGAGCGAACAGG
This 253-nucleotide ribosomal RNA is filed under the name uncultured bacterium. RNAcentral describes it as "partial 16S ribosomal RNA". It matches the Rfam family "Bacterial small subunit ribosomal RNA", at positions 524 to 776 of the family's 1533-position model. The record is from RNAcentral.